RNAcentral lists this ribosomal RNA (458 nucleotides) under uncultured organism. RNAcentral describes it as "partial 16S ribosomal RNA". It matches the Rfam family "Bacterial small subunit ribosomal RNA", at positions 330 to 797 of the family's 1533-position model. The record is from RNAcentral.
CGUACACUCCUACGGGAGGCAGCAGUGGGGAAUAUUGCACAAUGGGCGCAAGCCUGAUGCAGCGACGCCGCGUGGGGGAUGAAGGCCUUCGGGUUGUAAACUCCUUUCGCUAGGGACGAAGCUUUUUUGUGACGGUACCUAGAUAAGAAGCACCGGCUAACUACGUGCCAGCAGCCGCGGUAAUACGUAGGGUGCGAGCGUUGUCCGGAAUUACUGGGCGUAAAGGGCUCGUAGGUGGUUUGUCGCGUCGUCUGUGAAAUUCUGGGGCUUAACUCCGGGCGUGCAGGCGAUACGGGCAUAACUUGAGUGCUGUAGGGGUAACUGGAAUUCCUGGUGUAGCGGUGAAAUGCGCAGAUAUCAGGAGGAACACCGAUGGCGAAGGCAGGUUACUGGGCAGUUACUGACGCUGAGGAGCGAAAGCAUGGGUAGCGAACAGGAUUAGAAACCCUGGUAGUCCC